GAGGAAGGCCAGUUCUUUUGCUUCUAC
Molecule: non-coding RNA, 27 nt
Filed under: Rattus norvegicus (Norway rat)
Lineage: Eukaryota; Metazoa; Chordata; Mammalia; Rodentia; Muridae
Source: RNAcentral